RNAcentral lists this non-coding RNA (29 nucleotides) under Mus musculus (house mouse). The record is from RNAcentral. Lineage: Eukaryota; Metazoa; Chordata; Mammalia; Rodentia; Muridae.
UUGGUUUGUAAAGACUAGUGGGAGUCCUC